RNAcentral lists this long non-coding RNA (2603 nucleotides) under Astyanax mexicanus (Mexican tetra). Its description in RNAcentral is "lncRNA (ENSAMXG00005022136.1)". Lineage: Eukaryota; Metazoa; Chordata; Actinopteri; Characiformes; Acestrorhamphidae. The record is from RNAcentral.
UUUUAAAUAUGCAUGUUUUUAGGUGGUGAUUUGUCUCUUUGUAUACGUCAUUUCAUACACUUCAUGCAUGUUGUUGCACUAGAUCAGUUGCCUAUUUUAAUACAUGCUGUGUGUCCCAACACUUUAUGUGCUAAACUUUUUUGACAUAAACUAAAUGCAUUGUACCAAUCAUCGACUGAUAAUUAAUUUAUUCAUUCAUGCACAUCAAACAAGUAAACAUAUACGAGCGGAUUGGCUGCACUGCAGUAAUGAGUGAGUGCACUUAUUUGCUUAAUGCAAUAGUAUUUAUGUAGUCACUACCAUUAUUUUUUGCAUGCAUUUCGCGUGCAUUUGUAAUAACGAUUGUCUUAGCGUUGCACGUCCAUUCUGCACGUCUCUUUUGUACGUUGUUGUUUACGUACGUACGUGCGUUUAUUUUGCAGUGCAUUUGUCGCUAUUGUCGAAUGAUAAUGAUUGCACUCGUUUAUGCAAAUCAAAAAAGUGAACUAACAAAUGCAUUUAGCUGUUUUGCAUUGUCCAUGUACUCAUUUGCUCAAUGCAACGAUAGUAUCGUAUUCGCUACGCUUUUCUAGCGUGCAUUUCUAACUAUUCAACUUCCUCCGACGUUCUGCACAUGCUCAGUAGCGCGCGGAAAGUAUCGCUAAUCGUAGGCUCGAGCGACGCGAGAGGCAGCAGAAAGGCAGGAACGGCUGCACGAGGCGCUGCGUGCUGUUUGGAGGGCUGCCUGAAAUGAGACCAUCCUCUGCGUUUCUCAUGGACUGAGCUCUGCAGCGGGUGAAAGGAUGUGAAUCUCUCCCUUGUUCACUGUUCCUGGGAUGUGUCCAGCUCCACGGGCGUGUGAGGGAGACGCUGAUGGAUGAAAUGAUGGAGGAGUCGAGGGAACAGUCGGGGGGGAGUGGAGAGGAGGAGGAGACUGAGCCGGGUUUGUUGACUGAAAUAGUCCAGGUCGGCGUGGACGCUGAAUCAGGUGGAGAUGGGGAGAUAGCACCUGCUGAUUGGCUGGAACCACUGGAUGAGGAAUGUGGCGAGGCUGGGAAAGAAGGUGUGCAGAAUGGCAGCAGCGAGCAACAAGGCGGCAGAAGGAAAAGAGGAGGAUGGCGGAAAAGAAAAGGAGGAAGGCGGAAGGUCCUUUUGACUGAUGAUUGGAUAGACUGUUCUGAACUGGGCAAAGGCUGGAAGAAAAAAAUCAUUCAUCUGCGCAGCACUUCUGACAUACCCAAACAAACCAUGAACUACAUGAGUCCAAACGGCUUCCGCAUCAGGAGUAAAAAAAACCUUAAGAAACGUGUGAAGGUCGACGUGACUAACUUUGACUUCCAUAAAGGAAUAUUUGUGGAUGAUCUUGUCAAACCAAAGCGACAGCGGUCCAGAUCCUUACAUUCGUCGUUUUCUUUCUCCACUGAUGCCCUCCAAACCCAAGACAGUAUCACCGAGACCCCUCAGAAACCACGCCUCACCCGCAAAUCUCUUGCAGCAAGUGCAGCCGCACCUUUACCAUUAAAUGAGCUUUCUAGCAGCCCAUUAAAGCUAAGCCAUGUAUCCCCUACCACACAGCAAGCACCACAACCCAGCCUCUCACCCUCUCUACGACUGGGUGACUUCUCAACCCAAAUAGAGAACGAUUUUAUCACUCCUGAAAAAAACAAAACUGCAUUACUGUCCCGUUCCUGGCUCCAGUCCCCCCUGGCUCCUGUCAGCCCAGCUGAAACUCCAUCUGAGAAAGACCCGCCCACAUUCCUGAGUGCACUUAAAAGCUCCCCAGACAUCCAUCGGCCAUCGGACGCCAGUGCAGCGAUCAAUGGAGAGAAGCAGGAGAAUGGUUUCUCUUACAAGAUCUGUGUAAGCUGCGGAUCUCAGUACCUUAAUUCAGAUUGUAAAGAUGACGGCUUGUGUAUCCUGUGCUCAGUAAAGCCAAGGCAGCGGCCUCCUCCUCACAUUAUCUUUAAAAAGGUGGGACAAGAUAAGUGGAUAGUUGGGAAAAGAAAAUCUGAAGGCUUCAUGAAAAAGAAGAUUACUAAGCUAGGGAAGAAAAGUAAAUCUGUGAGUAUUGAAACGAAUACAUUCUUUAUUUAUAGACUUUAAUUAUAAAUAGUUGAUGCUUAUGAAUGUAAAAUCGCUGCACAACUGAGGUAAAUGCUCAGUUGUGUUUUUAUAUUAAUAUUUUAUCAUUUUAGCUGAUUCUCUUAUCCGGAGCAAUUUAAAAUUUAAUGAUGUUAAACAGGGAGACAACUGCAGGGUUAGGAGUGUCUCAGGUGGAAAGUGUGUAGGCGUGAACGCAAGCCUUUGUGGACCAAUCACAUCUGCUGCAGUCUGAGUUGCCCGGUGCUCAAUUACAUUCCUGGGGCAUCAGUUGUUACUUGUGUUGUAAUAGAGCUUUAACAGUGGUGAGGAGCUGUUUAAGGCAGCCUGUGGAGAUAUUAACAUAGUGUGUGUGUGUGUGUGUGUGUUUGUUUGUGUGUGUGUGUGUGAGUUGCAGAAAUCAGUGCAAUUGUUGGCCAGAAAGGAAAAGAAAAAAGAAAAUCCGGAAAUCAAAACGGUGAGAUUUUAAUGUCUGGUAUUGUUUAAGACCUGAGAAAUAACUGUAUUAAUGGGUACAAAAGUAC